This 459-nucleotide ribosomal RNA is filed under the name Vibrio anguillarum. Its description in RNAcentral is "bacterial SSU rRNA". It matches the Rfam family "Bacterial small subunit ribosomal RNA", at positions 66 to 514 of the family's 1533-position model. Lineage: Bacteria; Pseudomonadati; Pseudomonadota; Gammaproteobacteria; Vibrionales; Vibrionaceae. The record is from RNAcentral.
GCGGCAGCACAGAGGAACUUGUUCCUUGGGUGGCGAGCGGCGGACGGGUGAGUAAUGCCUAGGAAAUUGCCCUGAUGUGGGGGAUAACCAUUGGAAACGAUGGCUAAUACCGCAUGAUGCCUACGGGCCAAAGAGGGGGACCUUCGGGCCUCUCGCGUCAGGAUAUGCCUAGGUGGGAUUAGCUAGUUGGUGAGGUAAUGGCUCACCAAGGCGACGAUCCCUAGCUGGUCUGAGAGGAUGAUCAGCCACACUGGAACUGAGACACGGUCCAGACUCCUACGGGAGGCAGCAGUGGGGAAUAUUGCACAAUGGGCGCAAGCCUGAUGCAGCCAUGCCGCGUGUAUGAAGAAGGCCUUCGGGUUGUAAAGUACUUUCAGUCGUGAGGAAGGUGGUGUUGUUAAUAGCAGCAUCAUUUGACGUUAGCGACAGAAGAAGCACCGGCUAACUCCGUGCCAGCAG